This 1358-nucleotide ribosomal RNA is filed under the name uncultured bacterium. RNAcentral's name for it is "16S ribosomal RNA". It matches the Rfam family "Bacterial small subunit ribosomal RNA", at positions 31 to 1380 of the family's 1533-position model. The record is from RNAcentral.
GAACGCUAGCGACAGGCUUAACACAUGCAAGUCGAGGGGCAGCGGGGGCGUAGCAAUAUGCCUGCCGGCGACCGGCGCACGGGUGAGUAACACGUAUGUAACCUGCCCUAUGCAGGGGGAUAACCCGGAGAAAUCCGGCCUAAUACCGCGUAACACCUUUGGGGAGCAUUCCCUUGGGGUUAAAGGAGAGAUCCGGCAUAGGAUGGACAUGCGUCGCAUUAGGUAGACGGCGGGGUAACGGCCCACCGUGCCGACGAUGCGUAGGGGUUCUAAGAGGAAGGCCCCCCACACUGGUACUGAGACACGGACCAGACUCCUACGGGAGGCAGCAGUGAGGAAUAUUGGUCAAUGGCCGAGAGGCUGAACCAGCCAAGUCGCGUGAGGGAAGAAUGUCCUAAGGAUUGUAAACCUCUUUUGUCGGGGAGCAAAAAGGCUCUGCGGAGUCGUAUUGAGAGUACCCGAAGAAAAAGCAUCGGCUAACUCCGUGCCAGCAGCCGCGGUAAUACGGAGGAUGCGAGCGUUAUCCGGAUUUAUUGGGUUUAAAGGGUGCGCAGGCGGCGUGUCAAGCAAGCGGUAAAAUAGCGGGGCUCAACCCCGUCGAGCCGUUUGAACUGGCGCGCUUGAGUUCAGGCGAGGUAGGCGGAAUUCGUGGUGUAGCGGUGAAAUGCAUAGAUAUCACGAAGAACUCCGAUUGCGAAGGCAGCUUACCAGUCUGCGACUGACGCUCAGGCACGAAAGUGUGGGUAUCGAACAGGAUUAGAUACCCUGGUAGUCCACACAGUAAACGAUGAGCGCUAGGUGUCCGGGUCGAAUGAGGCUUGGGUGCCCGAGCGAAAGCGUAAGCGCUCCACCUGGGGAGUACGCCGGCAACGGUGAAACUCAAAGGAAUUGACGGGGGCCCGCACAAGCGGAGGAACAUGUGGUUUAAUUCGAUGAUACGCGAGGAACCUUACCCGGGCUCAAACGACUCAGGAAUAUAUUGGAAACGAUGUAGCCAGCAAUGGUCUGAGUCGAGGUGCUGCAUGGUUGUCGUCAGCUCGUGCCGUGAGGUGUCGGCUUAAGUGCCAUAACGAGCGCAACCCCUACCGCCAGUUGCCAACGGGUAAAGCCGGGAACUCUGGCGGGACUGCCGGCGCAAGCUGCGAGGAAGGCGGGGAUGACGUCAAAUCAGCACGGCCCUUACGUCCGGGGCGACACACGUGUUACAAUGGCAGGUACAGCGGGAAGCCACCUGGUGACAGGGAGCGGAACCCGAAAGCCUGUCUCAGUUCGGAUUGGAGUCUGCAACUCGACUCCAUGAAGCUGGAUUCGCUAGUAAUCGCGCAUCAGCCAUGGCGCGGUGAAUACGUUCCCGGGCC